Molecule: ribosomal RNA, 690 nt
Filed under: Hedycarya arborea
Lineage: Eukaryota; Viridiplantae; Streptophyta; Magnoliopsida; Laurales; Monimiaceae
Description: eukaryotic LSU rRNA
Rfam family: 5.8S ribosomal RNA (bases 315-470)
Source: RNAcentral
GUGAACCUGCGGAAGGAUCAUUGUCGCAAACCAGAGCCACCGGUGAACCCGUUCUGUCACUGAAGUUUGCGGGUUGUGCAUCUGAGGCCUCGAACCAGCCUGACUCAGCUGCCGUCCUCGCACGUCGAGGGCUCGGCUGAGUGGUGGUGGGGCCUUCGGGUGCUUGACCGAGCGAGCAGACACCUUUUGGGCGCGGCGUGCGCCAAGGACUUGAAGCGGAUUGUGCGGCGUCCUCUCCCGGUGCCUCGCCCCGUCCAGUGCGUUGGGCGUGGCUUGCCGUGGGGUUUCGACCCGCGUCUCUGGAUCUAUAAGACGACUCUCGGCAACGGAUAUCUCGGCUCUCGCAUCGAUGAAGAACGUAGCGAAAUGCGAUACUUGGUGUGAAUUGCAGAAUCCCGUGAACCAUCGAGUCUUUGAACGCAAGUUGCGCCUGAGGCCACUCGGCCAAGGGCACGCCUGCCUGGGCGUCAUGCCUCACCCAUCGCUCCCCUGCGUGCGGUCGGCAGGGAAGCGGAGAUUGGCCGCCCGUGCCCGAUUCGGAGCGCGGUUGGCACAAAAAGCAGGUCACGGUUUGGCACGACACGACGUGUGGUGGUUGAGAGGCGACUCGUCGCAGCUAGGACGUCGCGCCGUGCUGCACCUGGGACCCAACGCGAAACUGCGACCCCAGGUCAGGCGGGGCCACCCGCU